GAUGAACGCUAGCGGCAGGCUUAAUACAUGCAAGUCGUGGGCAGCGCAGUGUAGCAAUACAUGGCGGCGACCGGCAAACGGGUGCGGAACACGUACACAACCUUCCUACAAGUGGGGAAUAGCCCAGAGAAAUUUGGAUUAAUACCCCGUAACAUAUAAAGAUGGCAUCAUUUUUAUAUUAUAGCUACGGCGCUUGUUGAUGGGUGUGCGGCUGAUUAGGUAGUUGGCGGGGUAAUGGCCCACCAAGCCUGCGAUCAGUAGCUGAUGUGAGAGCAUGAUCAGCCACACGGGCACUGAGACACGGGCCCGAUCCUACGGGAGGCAGCAGUAAGGAAUAUUGGACAAUGGGCGCAAGCCUGAUCCAGCCAUGCCGCGUGAAGGAUUAAGGGUCCUCUGGAUUGUAAACUUCUUUUAUAAGGGACGAAAAAGGGAAUUCUUUCUCACUUGACGGUACCUUAUGAAUAGCACCGGCUAGCUCCGUGCCAGCAG
This 489-nucleotide ribosomal RNA is filed under the name uncultured bacterium. RNAcentral describes it as "bacterial SSU rRNA". It matches the Rfam family "Bacterial small subunit ribosomal RNA", at positions 28 to 514 of the family's 1533-position model. The record is from RNAcentral.